This 279-nucleotide ribosomal RNA is filed under the name uncultured bacterium. RNAcentral's name for it is "partial 16S ribosomal RNA". It matches the Rfam family "Bacterial small subunit ribosomal RNA", at positions 506 to 784 of the family's 1533-position model. The record is from RNAcentral.
UGCCAGCCGCCGCGGUAAUACGUAGGUGGCAAGCGUUGUCCGGAUUUACUGGGCGUAAAGAGCGCGCAGGCGGCCAGGUCAGUCGAAUGUGAAAGCCCCCGGCUCAACUGAGGAGGGUCAUUCGAUACUGCUUGGCUCGAAGAUAGGAGAGGGAAGUGGAAUUUCAGGUGUAGUGGUGAAAUGCGUAGAUAUCUGAAGGAACACCAGUGGCGAAGGCGACUUUCUGGCCUAUUCUUGACGCUGAGGCGCGAAAGCUAGGGGGGCGAACGGGAUUAGAUA